Molecule: RNase P RNA, 376 nt
Filed under: Plesiocystis pacifica
Lineage: Bacteria; Pseudomonadati; Myxococcota; Nannocystales; Nannocystaceae
Also listed under: 1 other name
Description: RNase P RNA component class A
Rfam family: Bacterial RNase P class A
About the family: Ribonuclease P (RNase P) is a ubiquitous endoribonuclease, found in archaea, bacteria and eukarya as well as chloroplasts and mitochondria. Its best characterised activity is the generation of mature 5'-ends of tRNAs by cleaving the 5'-leader elements of precursor-tRNAs. Cellular RNase Ps are ribonucleoproteins.
Source: RNAcentral
UCGAGAGGCUGAGGUGAUCGCGGUCGGGCCCACUGGGCCGCAGAUCGAGGAAAGUCCGGGCUCCACAGGGCAGGGUGCUUGCGAAAUGCAAGUCGAGGCGACUCGCAGGAAAGUGCCACAGAAAGCAAACCACCGGCUCACGGCCGGAGAGGGUGAAAGGGUGCGGUAAGAGCGCACCGGUUUCCUGGUGACAGGAAGCGCACGGUAAACCCCACUCGGUGCAAGGCCAAACAGAGCCGCGAAUCCGAACCGCGAGGCGAGGAGGAGCAGGGUAGCCCGCCCCAGCGCUCAGGUAGUGCCGCGCAGAAGAAUGAUCGCCACCUGGUCGAGGAGACGACGCCAGGGACAAAACCCGGCUUACGACCCUCUCGACCCC